GUGGCCGAUUACACGCCAACCUAGAAUCCACAAUGUUGUUGGUUGAUUAAGACAAUUUGAUGUUGAUUAAAGAUGUCAAAAACCGCUGAGGAGUGUGUAAUAACUCACAUGUUGAAUCAACUAACUCCGAAAAUGGAUGUCGGGGAAGUACAUGAC
RNAcentral lists this ribosomal RNA (156 nucleotides) under Triticum aestivum (bread wheat). Its description in RNAcentral is "rRNA LSU_rRNA_eukarya". It matches the Rfam family "Eukaryotic large subunit ribosomal RNA", at positions 1185 to 1341 of the family's 3401-position model. RNAcentral also lists the same sequence under 1 other name. Lineage: Eukaryota; Viridiplantae; Streptophyta; Magnoliopsida; Poales; Poaceae. The record is from Rfam by way of RNAcentral.